GUAGGAUUUGAGACGUAAAAGCACCUCGAAAAUUUGCAAACUGCUCAGCAGAUGUCAAAAUGGACGGGGUGGUGGGGCAGCUACGCGAGGUCGGACAUCAGAGAAUUAUCUCCGUUAGUCAAUCAGUAAUCGAUCUGUCCUGCUGAUGGCGAUGAAAUGAGACCGGCCGCGCGCUCUCCCUGGGCCGGGAGGAGGAGGCAACACUUGAACCGACUGUGGAUCCUGUUUGCCUUAUCUUUCACAUUAAUAUGAGCAAUUCCAGGAGGUACUGUGAUGAUGUCAUCUUGUCUUCCCUCAAGUCUUCUUUUGGAAAUGUUGCUAUUUAUACCCCAUCCUUAUAAAAAAUGAAGUAGAAGGGUAAGUGAAUAUCUGGAUCUGGAAUAUCCUCUAACUACCAGAACGUAUGAGUUCUAAACUGCAAACC
Molecule: long non-coding RNA, 424 nt
Filed under: Dasypus novemcinctus (nine-banded armadillo)
Lineage: Eukaryota; Metazoa; Chordata; Mammalia; Cingulata; Dasypodidae
Description: lncRNA (ENSDNOG00000050715.1)
Source: RNAcentral